RNAcentral lists this ribosomal RNA (253 nucleotides) under uncultured bacterium. Its description in RNAcentral is "partial 16S ribosomal RNA". It matches the Rfam family "Bacterial small subunit ribosomal RNA", at positions 524 to 776 of the family's 1533-position model. The record is from RNAcentral.
GACGAACCGUGCGAACGUUAUUCGGAAUCACUGGGCUUAAAGGGCGCGUAGGCGGGUCGGUAAGUCAGGGGUGAAAUCCCACGGCCCAACCGUGGAAGUGCCUCUGAUACUGCCGGCCUCGAGGGGGAUAGGGGCGUGCGGAACUCAGGGUGGAGCGGUGAAAUGCGUAGAUCUCGAGAGGAACACCAGUGGCGAAGGCGGGUCUCUGGACAACACCUGACGCUGAGGCACGAAAGCCAGGGGAGCAAACGGG